UCCCCAACAAUAUCCUGGUGCUGAGUGAUGACACGUGUGACUCCAGCAUCAGAGAUUUUGUUGAAGA
RNAcentral lists this microRNA precursor (67 nucleotides) under Mustela putorius furo (domestic ferret). RNAcentral's name for it is "mir-338 microRNA precursor family". It matches the Rfam family "mir-338 microRNA precursor family". RNAcentral also lists the same sequence under 3 other names. The record is from Rfam by way of RNAcentral. Lineage: Eukaryota; Metazoa; Chordata; Mammalia; Carnivora; Mustelidae.